AGUGAACGCUGGCGGUAGGCCUAACACAUGCAAGUCGAACGGCAGCACAGUAAGAGCUUGCUCUUACGGGUGGCGAGUGGCGGACGGGUGAGGAAUACAUCGGAAUCUACUUUUUCGUGGGGGAUAACGUAGGGAAACUUACGCUAAUACCGCAUACGACCUACGGGUGAAAGCAGGGGAUCUUCGGACCUUGCGCGAUUGAAUGAGCCGAUGUCGGAUUAGCUAGUUGGCGGGGUAAAGGCCCACCAAGGCGACGAUCCGUAGCUGGUCUGAGAGGAUGAUCAGCCACACUGGAACUGAGACACGGUCAAGACUCCUACGGGAGGCAGCAGUGGGGAAUAUUGGACAAUGGGCGCAAGCCUGAUCCAGCCAUACCGCGUGGGUGAAGAAGGCCUUCGGGUUGUAAAGCCCUUUUGUCGGGAAAGAAAAGCAGCAGGUUAAUACCCCGCUGUUCUGACGGUACCCAAAGAAUAAGCACCGGCUAACUUCGUG
RNAcentral lists this ribosomal RNA (492 nucleotides) under uncultured bacterium. Its description in RNAcentral is "partial 16S ribosomal RNA". It matches the Rfam family "Bacterial small subunit ribosomal RNA", at positions 29 to 507 of the family's 1533-position model. The record is from RNAcentral.